RNAcentral lists this ribosomal RNA (480 nucleotides) under uncultured bacterium. RNAcentral describes it as "bacterial SSU rRNA". It matches the Rfam family "Bacterial small subunit ribosomal RNA", at positions 28 to 506 of the family's 1533-position model. The record is from RNAcentral.
GAUGAACGCUGGCGGCAUGCCUUACACAUGCAAGUCGAGCGGCAGCGCGGGCAACCUGGCGGCGAGCGGCGAACGGGUGAGUAAUACAUCGGAACGUGCCCAGACGUGGGGGAUAACUACUCGAAAGAGUGGCUAAUACCGCAUACGAUCUACGGAUGAAAGCGGGGGAUCGCAAGACCUCGCGCGUCUGGAGCGGCUGAUGGCAGAUUAGGUAGUUGGUGGGAUAAAAGCCUACCAAGCCAACGAUCUGUAGCUGGUCUGAGAGGAUGAUCAGCCACACUGGGACUGAGACACGGCCCAGACUCCUACGGGAGGCAGCAGUGGGGAAUUUUGGACAAUGGGCGAAAGCCUGAUCCAGCCAUUCCGCGUGCAGGAUGAAGGCCUCGGGUUGUAAACUGCUUUGUACAGAACGAAAAAGACUCUGGCUAAUACCUGGAGUCCAUGACGGUACUGUAAGAAUAAAGCACCGGCUAACUACGU